CGUGUUUGAAACAUGCACCACGUAUUGAACAGCAGCAACGGUAAGGUGCCAUCUGGUCUUGUUGUGGCAUUCUACCUAAUCCAAAUAGUUAAUACUUCUGUCGGGUUGUUUUCCAUCGCUAGCGUGUCGUCAUGAAAAAUUCUCUCCUUUUUCUCUCUAACCUCCACGUAUAGUUUGGUGGAAAACGUGAAUCGUAUGAUUAUGACACUGUUUUAGACCUCCCUAGAGAUGUUUAAACUAAAAUAGGGUUCUACGUCCACAUUUAUAAUAAAUCGUUUGAUAGGGGCGU
This 289-nucleotide long non-coding RNA is filed under the name Elaeis guineensis (African oil palm). RNAcentral describes it as "long non-coding RNA (EGUI_LNC013941)". Lineage: Eukaryota; Viridiplantae; Streptophyta; Magnoliopsida; Arecales; Arecaceae. The record is from RNAcentral.